RNAcentral lists this ribosomal RNA (403 nucleotides) under uncultured bacterium. RNAcentral describes it as "partial 16S ribosomal RNA". It matches the Rfam family "Bacterial small subunit ribosomal RNA", at positions 30 to 526 of the family's 1533-position model. The record is from RNAcentral.
AUUGAACGCUGGCUGCAGGCCUAACACAUGCAAGUCGAGCGCGCGGCGGACGGGUGAGUAAUGUAUGUGUACUGCCCGAUAGAGGGGGAUAACUACUGGACACGGUGGCUAAUACCGCCUACUAUCGGAUAACCCGUAUGGGAUUAGAUAGUGGGUGGGGUAAAGGCUCACCUAGGCGACGUUCUGUAGCUGGUCUGAGAGGAUGAAAAGCGACACUGGGACGGAGACACGGCACAGACUACUACGGAGGCAGCAGUGGGGAAAAUUGCACAAUGGGCGGAAGGCUGACGUAGACAUGCCGCGUGUAUGGAGAGGGCCUUAGUGUUGGAAAGUACUUUCAGUGGGGAGGAGGUAUUAGAAGAAGAAGCACCGGCUAACUCCGUGCCAGCAGCCGCGGUAAUAC